CGUUCGGCCGCCAUUUUGUGCGGCGAGGGCUGAGGCAAACUCUGUCUCUUCACACCGCCCCUGUGCAGGGCAGCCCUCCUUAUCCUUUCAGGUCUUGAAAACCUCUAAGGAUGGAGAUUCUGCCACCUCGCUGAGUAGCCUGUUCCAGCAUUUUACUACCCUACUGCACCAGUUUCGACUUUACAACACUUGAUCCAAUGUGACGCCAUGCCAGCAAACAAGUUCACUGCAUCACUCAUCUCCCUGGAGAACAUCUGGCCAAACUUCCUUGGGCACUUUCUUUAAGAAAGCAGCGAAGACUCCAGAAAAACCUGCAGUCAAGACUCCCGAGAGGACUUCAGCCAAGAACCCUUCAAAAAGUCCAACCAAGAGCCUUUCAAAAAGUCCAGCAAAGUCACUUCAGAGAAGUCCUUCCAAAUCAAUAUGAUUGCUAUUUACAAUAUACAUACAUUAAUGUAGCUAUAUUACUCAUCUAUAAUUGAAUGAGUACAAAAUUCUGGGGUAUUUUUGGUGAAAAUAGGGUAUUGGGCCUUGGUUUAGGAACCAAUCCCCCAUUUAUAACAUUGUUUCUUAUGAGAAAAUUGGUUCUGAGUUACAAAAUUUGGAUGUAAGACAGGGUUUGCAAGAACCAAUUGUGUUGACUGCCUGUACUCUAAAUAUGGCCUCACCAGUGCUGAAUAGAGGGAAGGACUCACUUCCCUUGAUCUGCUGCAAUGCUCCUACUAAUGCAGCCCAGUAUGCCUUAGCUUUCUUGACAACAAGGGCACGCUGCUGGCUCAUAUUCAGCCUAUUGUCCAUUGUAACCCCAAGGUCCUUUCCUGCAGAGCUGCUCCUUAUUCAGUCAGUCCCCAGUCUGUAUCCCUUACUGUGUGACUCCAAUCACUGAUCACAUGGAUCUUGGUUUUCUUUGUUAAAAAAUCCAAAAUUUGCUAAUUAACCCCCCCCCCCCCCCCCAAAUCCAUGUUUUUCCACACUUAAAAUGAAGUACCACUAUAUAGGUAUCAGUUGAACACAAUGUUUUAUUGAGAUAUUUACAAUUUUAAAGCAAUUUGGAAACCUACCAGUGCCUUAAUCAUUGAUAAAAUAAAUUCUAAAUACCUAUA
This is a long non-coding RNA of Alligator mississippiensis (American alligator), 1103 nucleotides long. RefSeq lists it as uncharacterized. Lineage: Eukaryota; Metazoa; Chordata; Crocodylia; Alligatoridae. The transcript is spliced from 3 exons. The record is from RefSeq and is a predicted model, not a curated record.